GCUCCUGUUGCCUAGUGGUCAGAGCAUCCGCCUCGGAUGCGGGAGGUCGCGGGUUCGAAACACAAGUGAGUCCUACCAAAAACU
Molecule: non-coding RNA, 84 nt
Organism: Potamilus streckersoni
Lineage: Eukaryota; Metazoa; Mollusca; Bivalvia; Unionida; Unionidae
Source: the annotation of a GenBank genome assembly